Molecule: ribosomal RNA, 253 nt
Filed under: uncultured bacterium
Lineage: Bacteria
Description: partial 16S ribosomal RNA
Rfam family: Bacterial small subunit ribosomal RNA
Source: RNAcentral
UACAGAGGUCUCAAGCGUUAUUCGGAUUCAUUGGGCGUAAAGGGUGCGUAGGUGGCGGGGUAAGUCUGGUGUGAAAUCUCGGGGCUCAACCCCGAAACUGCACUGGAUACUGCCUUGCUCGAGUACUGGAGAGGAGAUUGGAAUUUACGGUGUAGCAGUGAAAUGCGUAGAUAUCGUAAGGAAGACCAGUGGCGAAGGCGAGUCUCUGGACAGUUACCGACGCUGAGGCACGAAGGUCAGGGGAGCAAACGGG